This is a long non-coding RNA of Macadamia integrifolia, 643 nucleotides long. RefSeq lists it as uncharacterized. NCBI's taxonomy places the organism in Eukaryota, Viridiplantae, Streptophyta, Magnoliopsida, Proteales, Proteaceae. The transcript has 2 exons. The record is from RefSeq and is a predicted model, not a curated record.
GUGUUUUAAGAUAUUUCUUGAAAAAGAAAGGACAAAAAAUGGGAGGAUUUAUGCUGUAAAAAGAUAAUGCUCUACUGCAGCUAGUUAUGGUGGUAGUUCUAUAUCAACCAUAUAUGAGUGAGACUGUGUGAGAUUUGUGAGACACUAAGGAGGAGAAACCUUCGCAAAGAAGAUGUGAUCCGAAUGUGCUGGGACCAUUCCAUCAGACCACCCAUCAGACUUUCUUGUGGAGAGAGUUGGAAAUCAUGCACGCUUGUAGAUUACUGAGAACACUGAAGGCUCCUACGAAAACCUUAAAAUCGGUGCCAUCAAAGUCCUGCAAGAAAACCUAUAUCAAACGGUUGCCAUUUGUCACAGUUCCCCAUUUUAUUUUCUGGUUUACUACUGCCAUUAAUUAUCGAAAGUCCAAGCAUUUGAGGUCGAAUCGCAUGCUGCUGCUGGAAAAAAAGUAAAUCACGCCAUUAUGACACUGCAGCAUGGACUAUAGAGACCAUGGUAUAAUAAUCUUGUAUCUGAAAUAGAUCAAUUACAAGUAGAUUGUGUCUCAUGCAUAUAUCUUUAAUAAAAAAUUUGUGAAAAAAAAGGGAACAUAUUGAUUAUUUCAAAACUAGGAGGAAAAAUAAAGAAAUUCAAUUUUAUAGUU